Molecule: ribosomal RNA, 447 nt
Filed under: uncultured bacterium
Lineage: Bacteria
Description: bacterial SSU rRNA
Rfam family: Bacterial small subunit ribosomal RNA
Source: RNAcentral
UCCAGACUCCUACGGGAGGCAGCAGUGGGGAAUAUUGCACAAUGGGGGAAACCCUGACGCAGCAACGCCGCGUGAGUGAAGAAGGCCUUCGGGUUGUAAAGCUCUUUAAUCAGGGACGAAGAAUGACGGUACCUGAAGAAUAAGCUCCGGCUAACUACGUGCCAGCAGCCGCGGUAAUACGUAGGGAGCAAGCGUUAUCCGGAUUUACUGGGUGUAAAGGGCGCGUAGGCGGGAUGGCAAGUCAGAUGUGAAAUCCAAGGGCUCAACCCUUGAACUGCAUUUGAAACUGUCGUUCUUGAGUACUGGAGAGGUUGACGGAAUUCCUAGUGUAGCGGUGAAAUGCGUAGAUAUUAGGAGGAACACCAGUGGCGAAGGCGGUCAACUGGACAGCAACUGACGCUGAGGCGCGAAAGCGUGGGGAGCAAACAGGAUUAGAUACCCUCGUAA